UACGUAGGUGGCAAGCGUUGUCCGGAUUUACUGGGCGUAAAGAGCGCGCAGGCGGUCGUUCAAGUCGCGUGUGAAAGCCCCCGGCUCAACUGGGGAGGGUCACGCGAUACUGAUCGACUCGAAGGCAGGAGAGGGUAGUGGAAUUCCCGGUGUAGUGGUGAAAUGCGUAGAUAUCGGGAGGAACACCAGUGGCGAAGGCGGUUCUCUGGGCAUUACCUGACGCUGAGGAGCGAAAGUGUGGGGAGCGAACAGG
RNAcentral lists this ribosomal RNA (253 nucleotides) under uncultured bacterium. RNAcentral's name for it is "partial 16S ribosomal RNA". It matches the Rfam family "Bacterial small subunit ribosomal RNA", at positions 524 to 776 of the family's 1533-position model. The record is from RNAcentral.